This is a long non-coding RNA of Sinocyclocheilus rhinocerous, 995 nucleotides long. RefSeq lists it as uncharacterized. The transcript has 4 exons. NCBI's taxonomy places the organism in Eukaryota, Metazoa, Chordata, Actinopteri, Cypriniformes, Cyprinidae. The record is from RefSeq and is a predicted model, not a curated record.
UGCACAUGUGGUGGAGAUGGACAUGCAGAAGACGCUCUCCAGAUCUACACUAGGUUGCUUAACUAUUGUCUGAGGUGAUUGGGAGGAGUGGUUCGAUUCAACAUGUACAAUGAACAUUUUGAGGAUUCAAAUGUCAUGGACAAGUCGCAACCAUAGAAACCAUGCUUCUGAACCUGACCAAUGGGAGCUGCCAAAUCCCUCUGGCAAGUGACAGAGUGGGUCUGACCUACAUCUACAGCCUUGCUUUCUCUAUUGGACUCCCGGCUAACCUGCUCUCCCUCAGUCGCUUUAGGGUUUCUGAUGCCCUGCUCUAUUCUAGGGUACACCUCUGCUCGAAUCGGGCUGACUCUACGAAACUCCCCGUCUGUCGCGGAUCACGAACGCCGCAAGAUUGUCGCAACCCUGGUUGUCAUCACUGUCAUCUUCAUUGUCAUUUUUGGUCCCUAUCAUCUGGUGGUCGGCUACAGAUUUGUCAGCCUGCUUCUCACAGAAAGUGAAAAAGACCAGUGUUUGGUGGAAGUUUCUCUUUACCUUUACUAUCGAAUCUGCUACGGGCUCACCAGCCUCAACACCCUUCUAGACCCUCUUUUCUACAUCUUUCUUUGUAACGAUGCUCGUCAAGAGCUUCGCAGAUCUCUUCUCUGCCCGUGCCGGGGUCAUAGGGUGCACCAGGGAUCACCAGUAACAUCUUUUCCCAAAAGUCGCCUCGAUCGCAGUGCAGAUGUGUAGCUGUCUCAUACAGAUGCUAAUCAGAGUUGGAGUCUUUGUAAGGCAUGUGCUGAAAACAAGGUUUUCACACAUGACGUGAAAAUGUCUUAUCAGACUGAGAUUUGACAAAUUGCGUCAAAUGGCACGUCCUCUGGAUCACUGUCAGUAGAGCUACGUCUUCAGCAUCUUCAGUCAAAUGUUUAGUCUGCCAGACAGCCUGAGGAGAUUCUAAUGCGUUCUCUAUAUUGCUUAAAAUACUUCAGGUGUAAUUACUCUAGCAUUCAAAA